CUACGGGUUGCAGCAGUGGGGAAUAUUGCACAAUGGAGGGAACUCUGAUGCAGCAACGCCGCGUGGAGGAUGACACAUUUCGGUGCGUAAACUUCUUUUAUAUAAGAAGAUAAUGACGGUAUUAUAUGAAUAAGCACCGGCUAACUCCGUGCCAGCAGCCGCGGUAAUACGGGGGGUGCAAGCGUUACUCGGAAUCACUGGGCGUAAAGAGCAUGUAGGCUGGUUUGUAAGUUGGAAGUGAAAUCCUAUGGCUUAACCAUAGAACUGCUUCCAAAACUACUUACCUAGAGUAUGGGAGAGGUAGAUGGAAUUUCUGGUGUAGGGGUAAUAUCCGUAGAGAUCAGAAGGAAUACCGAUUGCGAAGGCGAUCUACUGGAACAUUACUGACGCUCAGAUGCGAAAGCGUGGGGAGCAAACAGGAUUAGAUACCCCUGUAGUC
This 439-nucleotide ribosomal RNA is filed under the name uncultured bacterium. RNAcentral describes it as "partial 16S ribosomal RNA". It matches the Rfam family "Bacterial small subunit ribosomal RNA", at positions 339 to 795 of the family's 1533-position model. The record is from RNAcentral.